This is a long non-coding RNA of Brassica oleracea var. oleracea, 1197 nucleotides long. RefSeq lists it as uncharacterized. The record is from RefSeq and is a predicted model, not a curated record. The transcript has 3 exons. NCBI's taxonomy places the organism in Eukaryota, Viridiplantae, Streptophyta, Magnoliopsida, Brassicales, Brassicaceae.
AGCCGACAGUCAGUCAAUGUACGGCAAAGCAAAGGAAUCAAAUCCAGCUGGCUAACGGAUUUGAUGCUCUAGGACCGCGAGCUGUGACGUGUUACUAGCUCACUCAUGCACUGACAUUUUAGGGCUUUCGUCGCUUUCCUAUUUAAGGUUGUAACCCUCGACUGUAAAUCUUAUGUUGGAAUAAUACUGAAAGUUUUCCUCUUCAAUCUCUGUUUGUUACAAUAACUUCAAUGGAGACGAAGCUCUAUGAUUCCUAAUAUCUUCUGGGUUGACGGUAACAGUUUCUUGAUUUUUAUGUAACCUGAGAAUAUCAAAUUAUGGGUUGGAAUUGCGGUUUCUCGAUGCGUGCAUGCGUGGGCUAAGUAUCUGCUAUGAUUUGUUCGGUAGCCAACCUUAUGUUCCAUUGCCGAGUAUUCUCUAUACGUGCAAAUCCCUCAUGACUUUGGAACUUGAAGGACAGACUAUUCUUGUGGAUGUGCCUCAAACCGUUUUGUCUCCCUUACUUGAAGACCUUGCAACUUCGAUCUGUUAAAAUACUUUAAUUGAAGACUCCCUCCGACUGCUUCUGUCCCCAUUGUCCUGUUCUUGACGAUCUCUGUUUAUUGAGGGACAUGGAGACAUCGAUGACAAUAUGAGGGCAAUAGUUUUUAAAAUCCCGACUUUGCAGCGUUUGACCUAGCAGAUCUGUGAUCCUCCUUCUACGAAGCAUGUGAUCCUCCUUCUACGAAGCCCCUUCUAUAAAGUACUUCAAAAUCGAAGAUGAAGGAGAUGAUUCAUCUGUCAAACACCUUUCAUUACGUCAAUUAUUUAACGGUGUAGAUGAGUCUAUGUUUACUGUUGGCAUUGUCUUCAACCAGCUUGAACAUUUUAAGGUGUGUAUACACAGCGAAAACUGCUCCACUUUACUUCUCUGGUUGCUCAGAUAUUCUCCUAAACUGACAGUCCUUAAUCUUUACGUCGACGUUGUAAGAUUUCUUAUUUUCUGUUUUCAGCUAAAAUCUUGGCAUGAUGUAAUAUUGACUCUAUUUUUCUCUCUUCUUUCAUUAUCAUAGGAUAAUCAAGACUUUUAUGGUUAUUACCGUUUGAUUGGAAGAAAAGCUCUGUUCCUGAAUGUUUGCAGAUUACUCUCGAAACUUUCCUGAGUUUUUUUUUUCUUCAAAAAUGCUUGUUGCUUGAAGUGUACAUCAAUCACUGAUC